This is a long non-coding RNA of Colossoma macropomum (tambaqui), 197 nucleotides long. RefSeq lists it as uncharacterized. The transcript is spliced from 3 exons. The record is from RefSeq and is a predicted model, not a curated record. NCBI's taxonomy places the organism in Eukaryota, Metazoa, Chordata, Actinopteri, Characiformes, Serrasalmidae.
CAGAACUGCCUCCUUUACCAACUCCAGAAACUACAACACAGCUGAUAAAACCAAAAUCCACCACAGCAGCUACAUACACUGUUCCCACACACCACAGUGAAGCCACAACAGCCUCUCUAACAACCCACUCCAAACAUCAUGAUCACAUCCAAAAAGUGUCCAGAAGUGAGUGAGUGACAUCUACCUGCUGAACAACC